CCUACGGGUGGCAGCAGUGGGGAAUAUUGCACAAUGGGGGAAACCCUGAUGCAGCGACGCCGCGUGAAGGAAGAAGUAUUUCGGUAUGUAAACUUCUAUCAUCAGGGAAGAAAAUGACGGUGCCUGACUAAGAAGCCCCGGCUAACUACGUGCCAGCAGCCGCGGUAAUACGUAGGGGGCAGGCGUUAUCCUGCUUUACUGGGUGUAAAGGGAGCGUAGGCGGGUUAGCAAGUCAGAAGUGAAAGCCAGGGUCUCACCUCCGGGACUGCUUUUGAAACUGUUGAACUAGAUUGCAGGAGAGGAGAGUGGAAUGCCUAGUGUAGCGGUGAAAUGCGUAGAUAUUAGGAGGAACACCAGUGGCGAAGGCGGCUUACUGGACUGUAAAUGACGCUGAGGCUCGAAAGCGUGGGGAGCAAACAGGAUUAGAUACCCUAGUAGUC
This 440-nucleotide ribosomal RNA is filed under the name uncultured bacterium. RNAcentral describes it as "partial 16S ribosomal RNA". It matches the Rfam family "Bacterial small subunit ribosomal RNA", at positions 338 to 795 of the family's 1533-position model. The record is from RNAcentral.